GACAAUACUGACGCUGAGAUGCGAGAGCGUGGGGAGCAAACAGGAUUAGAUACCUGGUAGUCACGCUGUAAACGAUGUCGAUUUGGAGUUUGGGGGCAUGACCCUUGGGCUCCGGAGCUAACGCGUUAAAUCGACCGCUGGGGAGUACGGCCGCAAGGUUAAAACUCAAAUGAAUUGACGGGGGCCCGCACAAGCGGUGGAGCAUGUGGUUUAAUUCGAUGCAACGCGAAGAACCUCACCUGGUCUUGACAUCCAUAGAAUCUUUCAGAGAUGAGAGAGUGCCUUCGGGAGCUAUGAGACAGGUGCUGCAUGGCUGUCGUCAGCUCGUGUUGUGAAAUGUUGGGUUAAGUCCCGCAACGAGCGCAACCCCUAUCCUUUGUUGCCAGCACGUAAUGGUGGGAACUCAAAGGAGACUGCCGUUGAUAAAGCGGAGGAAGGUGGGGACGACGUCAAGUCAUCAUGGCCCUUACGACCAGGGCUGCACACGUGCUACAAUGGCGUAUACAAAGGGAUGCGAAGGUGCGAACUGGAGCGGACCUCACAAAGUACGUCUAAGUCCGGAUUGGAGUCUGCAACUCGACUCCAUGAAGUCGGAAUCGCUAGUAAUCGUGAAUCAGAAUGUCACGGUGAAUACGUUCCCGGGCCUUGUACACACCGCCCGUCACACCAUGGGAGUGGGUUGCACCAGAAGUAGAUAGCUUAACCUUCGGGAGGGCGUUUACCACGGUGUGGUUCAUGACUGGGGUGAAGUCGUAACAAGGUAACCA
This 767-nucleotide ribosomal RNA is filed under the name uncultured Enterobacteriaceae bacterium. RNAcentral describes it as "bacterial SSU rRNA". It matches the Rfam family "Bacterial small subunit ribosomal RNA", at positions 733 to 1502 of the family's 1533-position model. The record is from RNAcentral. Lineage: Bacteria; Pseudomonadati; Pseudomonadota; Gammaproteobacteria; Enterobacterales; Enterobacteriaceae.